AGGAUGAACGCUGGCGGCGUGCCUAAUACAUGCAAGUCGAGCGAACAGAUAAGGAGCUUGCUCCUUUGACGUUAGCGGCGGACGGGUGAGUAACACGUGGGUAACCUACCUAUAAGACUGGGAUAACUUCGGGAAACCGGAGCUAAUACCGGAUAACAUUUGGAACCGCAUGGUUCUAAAGUGAAAGAUGGUUUUGCUAUCACUUAUAGAUGGACCCGCGCCGUAUUAGCUAGUUGGUAAGGUAACGGCUUACCAAGGCGACGAUACGUAGCCGACCUGAGAGGGUGAUCGGCCACACUGGAACUGAGACACGGUCCAGACUCCUACGGGAGGCAGCAGUAGGGAAUCUUCCGCAAUGGGCGAAAGCCUGACGGAGCAACGCCGCGUGAGUGAUGAAGGGUUUCGGCUCGUAAAACUCUGUUAUUAGGGAAGAACAAACGUGUAAGUAACUGUGCACGUCUUGACGGUACCUAAUCAGAAAGCCACGGCUAACUACGUGCCAGCAGCCGCGGUAAUACGUAGGUGGCAAGCGUUAUCCGGAAUUAUUGGGCGUAAAGCGCGCGUAGGCGGUUUCUUAAGUCUGAUGUGAAAGCCCACGGCUCAACCGUGGAGGGUCAUUGGAAACUGGGAAACUUGAGUGCAGAAGAGGAAAGUGGAAUUCCAUGUGUAGCGGUGAAAUGCGCAGAGAUAUGGAGGAACACCAGUGGCGAAGGCGACUUUCUGGUCUGUAACUGACGCUGAUGUGCGAAAGCGUGGGGAUCAAACAGGAUUAGAUACCCUGGUAGUCCACGCCGUAAACGAUGAGUGCUAAGUGUUAGGGGGUUUCCGCCCCUUAGUGCUGCAGCUAACGCAUUAAGCACUCC
This 863-nucleotide ribosomal RNA is filed under the name bacterium. Its description in RNAcentral is "bacterial SSU rRNA". It matches the Rfam family "Bacterial small subunit ribosomal RNA", at positions 26 to 870 of the family's 1533-position model. The record is from RNAcentral.